Molecule: long non-coding RNA, 847 nt
Organism: Notolabrus celidotus (New Zealand spotty)
Lineage: Eukaryota; Metazoa; Chordata; Actinopteri; Labriformes; Labridae
Exons: 2
Source: RefSeq, a predicted model, not a curated record
GUGUGUGUGUAUGUGAGAAAGAGAGAGAGAGAGGGAGAGGGAGAGAGAGGGAGAGGGAGGACUGGAGCAGGAGUUGUGUAAAAGGGGCUGAAGUCCUGCGUUGCGUACUCCACCACCUCCUACACCUCCACCACGGCUGCUGCUGCUGCUGCUCUGAAAAAGUCGACUCUUCAACUGAUUUAGAAAACCGAUUUUCCACGGGGGGAUGUGAAGCGAGCCGACUCCGACACACCCUGCUGAAGGUCCGGGACUCCACCGAGCUGUGGGCGAGGCAGCGUGAACUCCUCCGGACCGAGCAGAGGGGCUCUGUCUGUCCGCGCAGGAGCGACCCGGCCGGUGGGCAAGGAAUAAGACAACCUGAAGAGGAUGAAAGAAAGGAGGAGGACUGGUUGUUUGUCACUCUUGGACUGCCCGGGUUCAGACUCUCACGCUCUCUGGCGGACUCCCCAGCACUCCCUCGCCCUCCAUGGUUCCCUAAUGGCUGACACACAGCAGUUCUUCACUGGCAAGCUUUAUGUUCCUGUACACAUGCUAAAGCUGCCAGCUGAAGAACUGCUCUGGUCUGCCCUGCCCCGGAUGACUCAAGAAGAGGAAGUGGAUCGGGGGGGCCUGUGGGAAGAGGACUGAGGAAGAAGUUUUCCACACGCUCAAACUUUAGUGACUCGAGACACCGUUGUUUUUAAAUAAAAUAAAAUGUGAGGUAUAUUUUACUUCCAGUUUGUGGUCGCACAUCUUGUUCUUCAAAAACCUGCUGAGUGUUGUUUUUCUUCUCUUAAUGCAGAACUAUUAUCAGAUGUUGUGGUUUAUUGUUGUUGAUCCUGUGGAAAAUAAAAGACAUUAAUACCAA